RNAcentral lists this transfer RNA (77 nucleotides) under [Clostridium] symbiosum. RNAcentral describes it as "tRNA-Arg". It matches the Rfam family "tRNA". From Rfam's summary of the family: Transfer RNA (tRNA) molecules are approximately 80 nucleotides in length. Their secondary structure includes four short double-helical elements and three loops (D, anti-codon, and T loops). The record is from RNAcentral. Lineage: Bacteria; Bacillati; Bacillota; Clostridia; Lachnospirales; Lachnospiraceae. RNAcentral also lists the same sequence under 2 other names.
UGAGUCUGUAGCUCAGUUGGAUAGAGCAACGGCCUUCUAAGCCGUGGGUCGGGGGUUCGAAUCCCUUCAGGCUCGUC